GUUCCCAACUGGCUCUGUUGUCUUGUCUUGAAGGAGCACUGCCCAGGAACCACUGUUUCACAAAAGGGCACUGUGAGAAGCUCUGGUAUAAAGUAUAUACUCUGACCUGGAGUGGAAAAUUAUCUACGUGGGCUCUGCAGAAAGUGAAGAGUACGAUCAAGUUUUAGACUCUGUCUUGGUGGGCCCUGUUCCUGCAGGAAGGCAUAUGUUUGUAUUUCAGGCUGAUGCACCUACCCAGGACUCAUUCCAGAUGCAGACGCAGUAGGUGUAACAGUUGUGCUA
Long non-coding RNA from Carlito syrichta (Philippine tarsier), 282 nucleotides. RefSeq lists it as uncharacterized. Lineage: Eukaryota; Metazoa; Chordata; Mammalia; Primates; Tarsiidae. The transcript has 3 exons. The record is from RefSeq and is a predicted model, not a curated record.